GAUAAACGCUGGCGGCGUGCCUAAAACAUGCAAGUCGAACGGUUCUUGGUCUUCGGACCAGGGAGAGUGGCGGACGGCUGAGUAACACGUGGGUGACCUGCCCUCGAACGGGGGAUAACUGCCCGAAAGGGUGGCUAAUACCGCAGAUGUCGAUCCUUCGGUGGGUUGACUGAACCGUUUAGGGUUCGAGGAGGGCCCGCGGCCAAUUAGCUUGCUGGUGGGGUAAAGGCCUACCAGGGCUUCGAUCGGUAGCGGUCUGAGAGGAUGAUCAGCCAGACUGGGACUGCGAACGGCCCAGACUCCUACGGGAGGCAGCAGUUAGGAAUUUUGGGCAAUGGGCGAAAGCCUGACCCAGCAACGCCGCGUGGGUGAUGAAGGCCC
Molecule: ribosomal RNA, 381 nt
Filed under: uncultured bacterium
Lineage: Bacteria
Description: bacterial SSU rRNA
Rfam family: Bacterial small subunit ribosomal RNA
Source: RNAcentral